GCUGGCGGCGUGCUUACACAUGCAAGUCGAACGAGAAAUCUUUAGCUUGCUAGAGAAAGUAAAGUGGCGCACGGGUGAGUAACGCGUGGGUAAUCUGCCUCCGAAUCGGGGAUAACAUUGCGAAAGCGAUGCUAAUACCGGAUAAAAUCUGGUUGGCUUAGGUGAACCGGAUCAAAGGUGGUCUCUUUAUAAAAGCUACCGUUUGGAGAUGAGCUCGCGUACCAUUAGCUAGUUGGUGAGGUAAAGGCUCACCAAGGCGACGAUGGUUAGCUGGUCUGAGAGGAUGAUCAGCCACACCGGAACUGGAACACGGUCCGGACUCCUACGGGAGGCAGCAGUGAGGAAUUUUGCGCAAUGGGGGAAACCCUGACGCAGCAACGCCGCGUGAGUGAUGAAGGCUUUCGGGUCGUAAAGCUCUGUCAGGUGGGAAGAACCCACCAAGUGUUAAGACCACUUGGUGCUGACGGUACCACCGAAGGAAGCACCGGCUAACUCCGUGCCAGCAGCCGCGGUAAUACGGGGGGUGCGAGCGUUAUUCGGAAUCAUUGGGCGUAAAGGGCGCGCAGGCGGUUUUGUAAGUCAGAUGUGAAAUCCCGGGGCUUAACCCCGGAAGUGCAUAUGAAACUAUGAGACUUGAGUAUGGGAGAGGGAAGCGGAAUUCCUGGUGUAGCGGUGAAAUGCGUAGAUAUCAGGAGGAACACCGGUGGCGAAGGCGGCUUCCUGGACCAAUACUGACGCUGAGGCGCGAAGGCGUGGGGAGCGAACAGGAUUAGAUACCCUGGUAGUCCACGCAGUAAACGUUGAUCACUAGGUGUAGCGGGUAUUGACCCC
Molecule: ribosomal RNA, 831 nt
Filed under: uncultured organism
Description: bacterial SSU rRNA
Rfam family: Bacterial small subunit ribosomal RNA
Source: RNAcentral